This 1403-nucleotide long non-coding RNA is filed under the name Gossypium barbadense (sea-island cotton). Its description in RNAcentral is "long non-coding RNA (GBAR_LNC003467)". The record is from RNAcentral. Lineage: Eukaryota; Viridiplantae; Streptophyta; Magnoliopsida; Malvales; Malvaceae.
CCGGUUUCCUACCUGGUGCACAGCUUCCAUUCACUUUAACCUAUAAUGAAAUUAUCUUUUAAAACACUAAGUAAGUUUUUUUUUGGAUCAACAAUAUAAAAUGUUUUGAACGCUUCGAUGUGGCAUGUCGGAUCCGGUCAUAACAUCUGGGCCGGGUUUGGGGUGCUACAUCAAGGACCUAAGACAUAAAUAUCUCAAGCUUCAAAACGCAACAUUCAAAUAAGGACUAAACCGUGACAAUGUGUAAAUCUCAGGGAAAAUAAAAAACAAAUAGAACAUGAUUGAGGCUUAAUUAAAGAUUGGCGCAAAAGGGGAGGGACCAAAUGCGCAAUUCACCCAGAGUAGCUAAUUGGCCUCUAAAGACUAAACGGUGACGUCUUUAUUUUGUCAUUAAACCUUAAAAAAUUGUUUGAAUGGCUCUCUGUCGUUUUCUACAGCAAUUGAAGCAAAAUCCUUCCCCAUAAGCCAAAUCCCUAGCCUCUCUUGAUUUUCCCUCAAUCGAUUCUAACACCCCCUUUUUAAGCACCGAUCUACCUCUAUCAAUGGUGACGAGUAGAUUCGGGCUUCAAGGGACGACCAUCUAGGCCACGAGGUUCCAUCUACACUCCAAUUUCAACGAAGAAGACGGAGUCUCUUAGCACAUUCGCAAGGUAAAUCUCUUGCUUUCUCUUUAUUUUCAAAUGCAUAUAAACUCUAAUGAAAGAUUAAUGGAAUCGAAAGAGAAAAAGAAGAAAAAAUAUUUGAAUACCUUUUCAAUUUUUUUGAUUGCUGUUUUUAAUAUUCGUGUAUAUAUUUGGGGAAAGAAGAUCCCCUUCCAUGUACAUUCAGUAGCUUUUUAUAGCCUAAAAAUGAGAAUAAAUAAGAAAGAAAAGAAAAAAAAAUCAAAUUGCUUUGCUGUAAAUUGCUGUGUAUUCUGUUAAUCCGCUUCUUCUCGCAGGUUCGACUGUACGGAGGAAAGCCACUCGUGGGGAAGCUGCGAUACGUGCGAGCAGCAGUUUGGUGACUUGGGAUUUCCAGAGUCUUCCCCCAUUCGGGCUGUUUGGGCUAAUUUCGGUAUUGGGCCUACUAGGGUAUUAGUUUAUUUCGGCUAGAAUUUAAAUUUAAUGUUUGAGUCAGAUAUUAAUUUGGUUAAUUGGGUCAUGGGCUAAUGGACUUUUAUUGUAUUGGUUUAUUAUUGUUUUUUAAUUUUUGGUUUUUUGGUUUUCUAACGGGCCCGGGCAAAAUGGGCCUAUUACAACUGUAAUUGUUUUGCUAUUCUAUUUCCAUACAUUUAUAUAGUAUUAUAUAAAAUUUUUAUCUGAUAAUUUUUGCUAUUUGAAUAUAUCAUUAAGUACAAGUGGUUGUCCGUAAAGUCAAGCAGUUUUAGGAAAUGAGGUAUCUGGACCUUAUUUUUAUAAAUCGAG